AUUGAACGCUGGCGGCAGGCCUAACACAUGCAAGUCGAGCGGAUGAAGGGAGCUUGCUCCUGGAUUCAGCGGCGGACGGGUGAGUAAUGCCUAGGAAUCUGCCUGGUAGUGGGGGAUAACGUCCGGAAACGGGCGCUAAUACCGCAUACGUCCUGAGGGAGAAAGUGGGGGAUCUUCGGACCUCACGCUAUCAGAUGAGCCUAGGUCGGAUUAGCUAGUUGGUGGGGUAAAGGCCUACCAAGGCGACGAUCCGUAACUGGUCUGAGAGGAUGAUCAGUCACACUGGAACUGAGACACGGUCCAGACUCCUACGGGAGGCAGCAGUGGGGAAUAUUGGACAAUGGGCGAGAGCCUUAUCCAGCCAUGCCGCGUGUGUGAAGAAGGUCUUCGGAUUGUAAAGCACUUUAAGGUGGGAGGAAGGGCAGUAAGUUGAUACCUUGCUGUUUUGACGUUACCAACAGAAUAAGCACCGGCUAACUUCGUG
Molecule: ribosomal RNA, 484 nt
Filed under: uncultured bacterium
Lineage: Bacteria
Description: partial 16S ribosomal RNA
Rfam family: Bacterial small subunit ribosomal RNA
Source: RNAcentral